AGAAUCAACGCUGGCGGCGUGCCUAACACAUGCAAGUCGAACGCGAAAGGGGAGCAAUCCCUGAUUAGAGUGGCAAACGGGUGAGUAACACGUGGGCGACCUGCCUUCGAGUGGGGGAUAACCUUCCGAAAGGAGGGCUAAUACCGCAUGACAUACCGUGUUUGGAUACACGGAUAUCAAAGCCGGGGAUCGCAAGACCUGGCGCUUGAAGAGGGGCCCGCGUCCGAUUAGCUAGUUGGUGUGGUAACGGCUCACCAAGGCUCCGAUCGGUAUCCGGCCUGAGAGGGCGGACGGACACGACUGGAACUGAGACACGGUCCAGACUCCUACGGGAGGCAGCAGUGGGGAAUUGUUCGCAAUGGGCGAAAGCCUGACGGAGCAAUACCGCGUGAGGGAGGAAGGUUUUGGAUUGUAAACCUCUUUUGUUAAGGAAGAAAAAAUGAACGGUACUUAACGAAUAAGCAUCGGCUAACUCCGUGCCAGCAGCCGC
RNAcentral lists this ribosomal RNA (490 nucleotides) under uncultured bacterium. Its description in RNAcentral is "SSU rRNA". It matches the Rfam family "Bacterial small subunit ribosomal RNA", at positions 26 to 518 of the family's 1533-position model. The record is from RNAcentral.